This 35-nucleotide ribosomal RNA is filed under the name Ipomoea batatas (sweet potato). Its description in RNAcentral is "partial 28S ribosomal RNA". Lineage: Eukaryota; Viridiplantae; Streptophyta; Magnoliopsida; Solanales; Convolvulaceae. The record is from RNAcentral.
ACCCCAGGUCAGGNGGGAUUACCCGCUGAGUUUAA